Molecule: ribosomal RNA, 460 nt
Filed under: uncultured bacterium
Lineage: Bacteria
Description: partial 16S ribosomal RNA
Rfam family: Bacterial small subunit ribosomal RNA
Source: RNAcentral
CCUACGGGAGGCAGCAGUGAGGAAUAUUGGUCAAUGGACGAGAGUCUGAACCAGCCAAGUAGCGUGAAGGAUGACUGCCCUAUGGGUUGUAAACUUCUUUUAUAUGGGAAUAAAAUGUUCCACGUGUGGGAUUUUGUCUGUACCAUAUGAAUAAGGAUCGGCUAACUCCGUGCCAGCAGCCGCGGUAAUACGGAGGAUCCGAGCGUUAUCCGGAUUUAUUGGGUUUAAAGGGAGCGUAGGUGGAUUGUUAAGUCAGUUGUGAAAGUUUGCGGCUCAACCGUAAAAUUGCAGUUGAAACUGGCAGUCUUGAGUACAGUAGAGGUGGGCGGAAUUCGUGGUGUAGCGGUGAAAUGCUUAGAUAUCACGAAGAACUCCGAUUGCGAAGGCAGUUCACUGGACUGCAACUGACACUGAGACUCGAAAGUGUGGGUAUCAAACAGGAUUAGAUACCCGGGUAGUC